UUCCGGAGCUGCUGCGGAAAGCGGCAGGCGCAAUGGGGCAAGUGCUCAAAGCAAGGGGCAGGACUCGGAGGCGGUUAUUGGCAGUGUGUCUUCGUGCUCUAACACAUCUUUGCAUUCAGACUCUCACCACAGGCUGUGCUCCCACCUCCUGAAUGAUGGUGGUGAGAGGCAUACUGCGAAAGGCACCGGAGGACGGGGCUGCCCGGAAAGAGCACAACGCCCAGGCCGGAGGCAGUCCUGUCGGGCUUGCUUAGGGCUGCGAGUCCCUUCCAUCCAUUCCAGUCCCCGAUAAGCUCUCCAGAGCUAGGGGUGCCAGAGCCAGGCCUCUCCUGACAAGGGGUAAGCGCGAC
Molecule: long non-coding RNA, 350 nt
Organism: Chinchilla lanigera (long-tailed chinchilla)
Lineage: Eukaryota; Metazoa; Chordata; Mammalia; Rodentia; Chinchillidae
Source: Ensembl